Molecule: non-coding RNA, 64 nt
Organism: Dipodomys ordii (Ord's kangaroo rat)
Lineage: Eukaryota; Metazoa; Chordata; Mammalia; Rodentia; Heteromyidae
Source: Rfam
GAGAAAUUGGCUCAGUGGUAGAGUGCUUGCCUUGCAUGCAUGAGGCCCUGGGUUCGAUUCCUCA